CCUACGGGGGGCUGCAGUGAGGAAUAUUGGUCAAUGGGCGCGAGCCUGAACCAGCCAAGUCGCGUGAGGGAAGACGGUCCUAUGGAUUGUAAACCUCUUUUGUCGGGGAGCAAAAGACGCCACGCGUGGCGUUCCGCGCGUACCCGAAGAAAAAGCAUCGGAUAACUCCGUGCCAGCAGCCGCGGUAAUACGGAGGAUGCGAGCGUUAUCCGGAGUUAUUGGGGUAAAGGGGUGCGCAGGCGGAAGCUCAAGUCAGCGGUAAAAUUGAGGGGCUCAACCUCUUCGAGCCGUUGAAACUGGUUUUCUGGAGUGAGCGAGAAGCAGGCGGAAUGCGUGGUGUAGCGGUGAAAUGCAUAGAUAUCACGCAGAACUCCGAUUGCGAAGGCAGCAUACCGGAGCGCAACUGACGUUCAUGCACGAAAGUGUGGGUAUCGAACAGGAUUAGAUACCCCUGUAGUC
This 459-nucleotide ribosomal RNA is filed under the name uncultured bacterium. Its description in RNAcentral is "partial 16S ribosomal RNA". It matches the Rfam family "Bacterial small subunit ribosomal RNA", at positions 338 to 795 of the family's 1533-position model. The record is from RNAcentral.